This is a small nuclear RNA of Colobus angolensis palliatus, 82 nucleotides long. Its record names the gene U4. It matches the Rfam family "U4 spliceosomal RNA". From Rfam's summary of the family: U4 small nuclear RNA (U4 snRNA) is a component of the major U2-dependent spliceosome. NCBI's taxonomy places the organism in Eukaryota, Metazoa, Chordata, Mammalia, Primates, Cercopithecidae. The record is from Ensembl.
AGCUUUGUACAGUGGCAGUAUCAUAGCCAAUGAGGUUUAUCUGAGGCAUGAUUAUUGCUAAUUGAAAACUUUAUUUCUUGGG